AUAUCAAUAAGCGGAGGAAAAGAAACCAACAGGGAUUGCCUUAGUAACGGCGAGUGAAGCGGCAACAGCUCAAAUUUGAAAUCUGGCCCUUGGGUCCGAAUUGUAAUUUGUAGAGGAUGAUUUUGGUGCGGUAUCUUCCGAGUUCCUUGGAACAGGACGCCUUAGAGGGUGAGAGCCCCGUACGGUUGAAUGCCUAGCCUCUGUAAAUCUCCUUCGACGAGUCGAGUAGUUUGGGAAUGCUGCUCUAAAUGGGAGGUAAAUUUCUUCUAAAGCUAAAUAUUGGCCAGAGACCGAUAGCGCACAAGUAGAGUGAUCGAAAGAUGAAAAGCACUUUGAAAAGAGGGUUAAAUAGCACGUGAAAUUGUUGAAAGGGAAGGAUUUGUGACCAGACUUUUUCUGGGCGGAUCAUCCGGGGUUCUCUCCGGUGCACUUUGCCCAGUAAAGGCCAGCAUCGGUUUUCGGCGGGGGAUAAAAGCAGUAGGAAUGUGGCUCUCUUCGGGGAGUGUUAUAGCCUAUUGUAUAAUACCCUGCUGGGGACCGAGGUACGCGCUUCUGCAAGGAUGCUGGCGUAAUGGUUAUCAAUCACCCGUCUUGAAACACGGACCAAGGAGUCGAACAUUUGUGCGAGUGUUUGGGUGUUAAACCCUCACGCGUAAUGAAAGUGAACGGAGGUGAGAGCCCUUACGGGUGCAUCAUCGACCGAUCCUGAAGUUUUCGGAUGGAUUUGAGUAAGAGCAUAACUGUUCGGACCCGAAAGAUGGUGAACUAUGCGUGGAUAGGGUGAAGCCAGAGGAAACUCUGGUGGAGGCUCGCAGCGGUUCUGACGUGCAAAUCGAUCGUCAAAUCUGCGCAUGGGGGCGAAAGACUAAUCGAACCAUCUAGUAGCUGGUUACCGC
Molecule: ribosomal RNA, 896 nt
Filed under: Pseudopestalotiopsis curvatispora
Lineage: Eukaryota; Fungi; Ascomycota; Sordariomycetes; Amphisphaeriales; Sporocadaceae
Description: partial 28S ribosomal RNA
Rfam family: Eukaryotic large subunit ribosomal RNA
Source: RNAcentral